CCUACGGGGGGCAGCAGUGCGGAAUAUUGGUCAAUGGGCGCGAGCCUGAACCAGCCAAGUAGCGUGAAGGAUGACUGCCCUACGGGUUGUAAACUUCUUUUAUAAAGGCAUAAAGUGAGGCACGUGUGCCUUUUUGUAUGUACUUUAUGUAUAAGGCUCGGCUAACUCCGUGCCAGCAGCCGCGGUAGUUAGGCGGAUCCGAGCGUUAUACGGAUUUAUUGGGGUUAAAGGGUGCGGAGGCGGAAUGCCCAGUCAGCGGUAAAAUCGCGGGGCUCAACCGCGCUCCGCAGUUGAAACUGGCGUUCUUGAGUGGGCGAGAAGUAUGCGGAAUGCGUGGUGUAGCGGUGAAAUGCAUAGAUAUCACGCAGAACUCCGAUGGCGAAGGCAGCAUACCGGCGCCCAACUGACGCUGAAGCACGAAAGCGUGGGUAUCGAACAGGAUUAGAUACCCCUGUAGUC
RNAcentral lists this ribosomal RNA (459 nucleotides) under uncultured bacterium. Its description in RNAcentral is "partial 16S ribosomal RNA". It matches the Rfam family "Bacterial small subunit ribosomal RNA", at positions 338 to 795 of the family's 1533-position model. The record is from RNAcentral.